RNAcentral lists this transfer RNA (69 nucleotides) under Eutropis multifasciata (many-lined sun skink). Its description in RNAcentral is "tRNA-Pro". It matches the Rfam family "tRNA". Rfam says of the family: Transfer RNA (tRNA) molecules are approximately 80 nucleotides in length. Lineage: Eukaryota; Metazoa; Chordata; Lepidosauria; Squamata; Scincidae. The record is from RNAcentral.
CAAAGGGUAGUUUAGUUAAAAUGCUAGUUUUGGGGACUAGUGAUGGAGGUUUAUACCCUCUCCUUUUGA